This 253-nucleotide ribosomal RNA is filed under the name uncultured bacterium. Its description in RNAcentral is "partial 16S ribosomal RNA". It matches the Rfam family "Bacterial small subunit ribosomal RNA", at positions 524 to 776 of the family's 1533-position model. The record is from RNAcentral.
UACGUAGGGGGCAAGCGUUGUCCGGAAUCAUUGGGCGUAAAGCGCGUGUAGGCGGUCCGGUCAGUCGGGUGUGAAAGUCAAGGGCUCAACCCUUGAAUGCCGGCCGAUACUGCCGGGCUAGAGUCCGGAAGAGGUGAGUGGAAUUCCUGGUGUAGCGGUGAAAUGCGCAGAUAUCAGGAGGAACACCGAUGGCGAAGGCAGCUCACUGGGACGGUACUGACGCUGAGACGCGAAAGCGUGGGGAGCGAACAGG